RNAcentral lists this ribosomal RNA (510 nucleotides) under uncultured bacterium. RNAcentral describes it as "partial 16S ribosomal RNA". It matches the Rfam family "Bacterial small subunit ribosomal RNA", at positions 28 to 507 of the family's 1533-position model. The record is from RNAcentral.
GACGAACGCUGGCGGCGUGCUUAACACAUGCAAGUCGAACGAAGAGCGAUGGAAGCUUGCUUCUAUCACUCUUAGUGGCGAACGGGUGAGUAACGCGUAAUCAACCUGCCCUUCAGAGGGGGACAACAGUUGGAAACGACUGCUAAUACCGCAUACGAUCUAAUCUCGGCAUCGAGGAUAGAUGAAAGGUGGCCUCUACAUGUAAGCUAUCACUGAAGGAGGGGAUUGCGUCUGAUUAGCUAGUUGGAGGGGUAACGGCCCACCAAGGCGAUGAUCAGUAGCCGGUCUGAGAGGAUGAACGGCCACAUUGGGACUGAGACACGGCCCAGACUCCUACGGGAGGCAGCAGUGGGGAAUCUUCCGCAAUGGACGAAAGUCUGACGGAGCAACGCCGCGUGAGUGAUGACGGCCUUCGGGUUGUAAAGCUCUGUUAAUCGGGACGAAAGGCCUUCUUGCGAAUAGUGAGAAGGAUUGACGGUACCGGAAUAGAAAGCCACGGCUAACUACGUG